This 3757-nucleotide long non-coding RNA is filed under the name Homo sapiens (human). RNAcentral describes it as "non-protein coding LINC01723:27". The record is from RNAcentral. Lineage: Eukaryota; Metazoa; Chordata; Mammalia; Primates; Hominidae.
AGUAAACAAGUCUCCACUGCCUUGGCCAUGUGCUGUGUUCACCCCACUCCUGAUCUUGUUGGCUGCUCAGGGGCUGACAGCCCAGAUGUGCAGCUGUGAUGAGCAGAAACAGGGAGGAAUGGAGCCCCCAGCCAUUGUCAUCACUUCCUCAAGCUGUCUAAAUUCUGCCCAGCAGUCUGUGAAAAUGUUGUGCUGAUGACAUAUGUAAGGACUCUAACUCCCCUCAAACAAUCUGCUCACCUGAAAGGCUCACUCCUGUUGUAAUAAAUGACACAUAAGGUCACAAUUCAACCGGUACCCAUCUUGGAUACCACUUCUUAUGUAAACAUCAAAUAUACACCCUCUUCCCACACACUAAUGUAUCCUGUAUAUUUGAAAUAAAAGUUAGAGAUAUACAUACAGAGAUUUAAAAUCUAAAACUGUCCCCUCCCCAGUAAGUCAUGUAUCCGUUAAAAGAAUAUCUGGAAACCUCCAAAAGGAAGCCAAGCAUAGACUAUUUGGAAGAACUUGAAGGAGCGAGAGCUGACCCCAUCUUUGUACACUGGCAGCACAAGGAGUAAGUGUUACCCUCCCUCAUAACAACAAUCAACACGGAAGACUUCUGUGACCAAAUGUGUGCACGUUUCUCUCCAUACACCAAGCAAGCAAUCUAUUCUGCAGCAGACACCAACUGGAAGUCCUCCAAUUCAAUUCAAUUCUGACACUGUCUACCUGGAAAUGGCCUCAGCAACCACAGGUUGAGAGCUCAGUCCCACAAGAACACCUCCUCCUUCCAACCAGUUGAAACUCCACACCUCCAGAACUUCUCACUGACUGGCUUCGAGUUGAGGUUUCCACAGUCCUCUGUUUGAGUUUGAUUAAUUUGCUAGAGAAGUUCACAGAACACAAGGAAACACUUACUUAUGUUGAUCAAUUUAUCACAAAGGAUGUUUUAAAGGAUCCAAAUGGGGGCCAGGCACAGUGGCUCAUGCCUGUAAUCCCAGCACUUUGGGAGGCUGAGGCAGGCGGAUCAUGAGGUCAGGAGAUCAAGACCACCCUGGCUAACACGGUGAAACCCCGUCUCUACUUAAAAAAAAAAAAAAAAAUUAGCCGGGUGUGGUGGUGGGCACCUGUAGUCCCAGCUACUCAGGAGGCUGAGGCAGGAGAAUGGCAUGAACCCAGGAGGCAGAGCUUGCAGUGAGCGGAGAUUGCGCCUCUGCACUCCAGCCUGGGCAACAGACCAAGACUCUGUCUCAAAAAAAAUAAAUACAUAAAAUAAAAAAUAAAAAAUAAAUAAAUAAAUAAAUAAAUAAAGGAUCCAAAUGAAAAGCCAGAUGAAGAGAUAUAUAGUGUGAGGCCUGGAAGAGCACAGGAGCUUCUGUCCCUGUGGAGUUGGGGUGUGUCAUCCUCCUGGCACAUGACAGGUUCUUCUUCUGCUUCCUGUCAGCCUCCACAUGUUCAGCUCUCCAGAAGCUCUAUACAUCCUGUCCUUUCAGGCCUUUUAUGAAGACUCCAUUGGAUAGGCAAGAUAACAAACAUGUAGAAAUGUUAUUAGACCAAAGGGUAUGAUCUAUAAUAUCUAUUAUAAUGCCAAUAGACUGAGUGGGGAAACCCGGCAAGGCCUGUCUAUUCAGAUUCUUGUUAGCACCUCUGUGCAGCAUUCCUUCCUCCAGGGUAUGGCAGGACCUUUCUCAAAUGAGGAUCUUAUGGCCCACAAUCAGAAAGGCAGGGGAAGAUUAGAGGAGGGCAGGGGAAGGUCAGAGAGAGAGAUUAUAUUUUCUGAGGUCUGCUCCUGAGACUUAAAGCACUCCAACAUUAUAACAGAAGACUAUGGGAGUUAUGCCAACAACCAUGGAUGAAAACAUGUUUUAUAUAUAAUAUAUAUAUUAUAUAUAAUUAUAUAUUAUGUAUUAUUAUAUAUAAUUAUAUAUUAUAUAUAUUUUAUAUAUACUCGCAAGAGGUUAAUUCAGAAAAUUGCUACUGUGGUUGCUACUUUUUGUCCUUUAACAACCAAUUUAAAGUAAAAUUUUGACUGAAAUAGCAAUUGAUUUUUGAGAAAUGUCAGCAAUCGCAAUGAUAAUAAUUUUUUAGCCAUUAUCCCAAAGGAAACGAGUGAUGUUUUCAAAAUGUACUUCAAUCCUUCAGCAAUAAUCAGAUAAAUAAAUUUCCUGUAAAAUUAUAAUUAAAAGUAAAUGAUACUUUUAAUUUUUAUGGAUAAAUAAUAUUUGUACAUAUUUAUGAGAUUCAUGUGAUAUUUUGUUACAUGCAUACAAUAUAUAAUGGUCAAGACAGGGUAUUUAGGGCAACUGCUACCUUGAGUAUGUGUCAUGUUCUGUGUUUAUCAUUUGAAAUCUUCUUGCUAUUUUGAAAGACAAUACACUGUUGUUAACUAUAAUCACUCUACUAUGAUAUUGAACAGUAUAAUUUAUUCCUUUAUCUAACUGUAUGUUUGUACCCAUUAACUAACCUCUGUCCAUCUCCCGCACCCUUGCCAUACACACUCUUUUCAUCUUCUUGUAUCUAUUAUUCUCUUCUCUACCUCCAGGAGAUUAACAUUUUUAGCUCCCACACAUAUGUGAUGACUUGUAAUAUUUGUCUUUCUGUGCCUGGCUUUUUUCACUUAUGUUAAUGAACUCCAGUUCCAUUCAUGCUGCUGCAAAUGACACGAUUUCCUUAUUUUUAUUGCUGGAUAUUAUUCCAUUGUGUGUAUACGCUGCAUUUUUAUCCAUUGGUUUAUUGACGAACACUUAGGUUGAUUCCAUAUCUUUGCUAUUGUUAGUAGUGCUACGAUAAACAUGGGAGUGCAGAUAUCUUUUUGAAAUAUUGAUUUUGUUUUCUUUAUAUAAAUACCCAGUAGUGGUAUUUUUGAAUCAUAUGGUAGUUCUAUUUUUUGAUUUUACUAAUUUAUAUUCCCACCGGUAGUGUGUAAAAGUUCCCUUUUCUCCACAUCCUCACCAGCAUCUGUUAUUUUUUGUCUUUUUAAUAAUAGUCAUUCUAACUUAGGUAAGAGGAUAUCUAAAUUAUCUUUCAAUGAAAGGAAUGAGGGAUACAUUAAUAUUAGGCAUUGAUCUUCUUUUGACAGAAAAACAUCAAAAUGUUGUACAAAUUUGUAAGGAUUUGAUAAUAAAUUUUGGCAGAUGUCCAAUAUCAAGAUCACCAACCACUUCAUUAAUAAUUGUUGUUAAGUCAUGGAACUUGUCUGCAGAAAUUGUAUUCUUCCAAGCUUCUAACUGAGGAUUUUGCCCUUCAACCUUAUCUGCUGUGAAAAGACAUGUUUUUUUUUGCAAAGCAAUAUUAAGAUAAUUGAAAUAUCCAAAAUACUAGACAAAUGAGAAAGAUUCGUUGUCCAAUUUCAUCUUAAAGUCAAUAUCAAAUUGGUUGCUUACCUUGGAAACACUGAGAUUGUUCUAUAGUUCAACAGUUCUCCACCAAACUUUUACCCUCAAUAAAGAUGUACUUCCACAUACAUUAACAGUUGUUUUUAGUCAGCUUUCACAUUAUUGCCUAUAAAAAAAUUAAAGUUAUUACCCUUAUGGAAUGAUUACAUUUUACAAUUUCUCUAAGCAUAAUGUUUAGUUCAACAAGAUUUUUUGCUUUUCUAUAUAUAACAAAAAUUUCUCAAUGAAGCAAACAUUACAUUGAUUUAUAAUCUAUCGCAAGCUUCUUAAUCUGACUAAUUAUUUCAGAACAUGCCCCUACUGUGCUCAACAAUUACAUAGUUCCUGCCAUUUGUGACUCAUCAUGUGAAUUUGACCUGUUCUGUAACUCUUUCAAUAAA